GCCGGGGUGCCCGAGCGGACCAAGGGGCUGGCCUGGAGAGCCAGUAGGGGCAACCCUACGCGGGUUCAAAUCCCGCCCCCGGCG
RNAcentral lists this transfer RNA (84 nucleotides) under Metallosphaera sedula. Its description in RNAcentral is "tRNA-Ser (GGA) (tRNA-Ser-GGA-1-1)". It matches the Rfam family "tRNA". From Rfam's summary of the family: Transfer RNA (tRNA) molecules are approximately 80 nucleotides in length. Their secondary structure includes four short double-helical elements and three loops (D, anti-codon, and T loops). Further hydrogen bonds mediate the characteristic L-shaped molecular structure. tRNAs have two regions of fundamental functional importance: the anti-codon, which is responsible for specific mRNA codon recognition, and the 3' end, to which the tRNAs corresponding amino acid is attached (by aminoacyl-tRNA synthetases). tRNAs cope with the degeneracy of the genetic code in two manners: having more than one tRNA (with a specific anti-codon) for a particular amino acid; and 'wobble' base-pairing, i.e. permitting non-standard base-pairing at the 3rd anti-codon position. RNAcentral also lists the same sequence under 4 other names. The record is from RNAcentral. Lineage: Archaea; Thermoproteati; Thermoproteota; Thermoprotei; Sulfolobales; Sulfolobaceae.